Molecule: ribosomal RNA, 2299 nt
Filed under: Shigella flexneri
Lineage: Bacteria; Pseudomonadati; Pseudomonadota; Gammaproteobacteria; Enterobacterales; Enterobacteriaceae
Description: partial 23S ribosomal RNA
Rfam family: Bacterial large subunit ribosomal RNA
Source: RNAcentral
AAACCGUGUACGUACAAGCAGUGGGAGCACGCUUAGGCGUGUGACUGCGUACCUUUUGUAUAAUGGGUCAGCGACUUAUAUUCUGUAGCAAGGUUAACCGAAUAGGGGAGCCGAAGGGAAACCGAGUCUUAACUGGGCGUUAAGUUGCAGGGUAUAGACCCGAAACCCGGUGAUCUAGCCAUGGGCAGGUUGAAGGUUGGGUAACACUAACUGGAGGACCGAACCGACUAAUGUUGAAAAAUUAGCGGAUGACUUGUGGCUGGGGGUGAAAGGCCAAUCAAACCGGGAGAUAGCUGGUUCUCCCCGAAAGCUAUUUAGGUAGCGCCUCGUGAAUUCAUCUCCGGGGGUAGAGCACUGUUUCGGCAAGGGGGUCAUCCCGACUUACCAACCCGAUGCAAACUGCGAAUACCGGAGAAUGUUAUCACGGGAGACACACGGCGGGUGCUAACGUCCGUCGUGAAGAGGGAAACAACCCAGACCGCCAGCUAAGGUCCCAAAGUCAUGGUUAAGUGGGAAACGAUGUGGGAAGGCCCAGACAGCCAGGAUGUUGGCUUAGAAGCAGCCAUCAUUUAAAGAAAGCGUAAUAGCUCACUGGUCGAGUCGGCCUGCGCGGAAGAUGUAACGGGGCUAAACCAUGCACCGAAGCUGCGGCAGCGACGCUUAUGCGUUGUUGGGUAGGGGAGCGUUCUGUAAGCCUGUGAAGGUGUGCUGUGAGGUAUGCUGGAGGUAUCAGAAGUGCGAAUGCUGACAUAAGUAACGAUAAAGCGGGUGAAAAGCCCGCUCGCCGGAAGACCAAGGGUUCCUGUCCAACGUUAAUCGGGGCAGGGUGAGUCGACCCCUAAGGCGAGGCCGAAAGGCGUAGUCGAUGGGAAACAGGUUAAUAUUCCUGUACUUGGUGUUACUGCGAAGGGGGGACGGAGAAGGCUAUGUUGGCCGGGCGACGGUUGUCCCGGUUUAAGCGUGUAGGCUGGUUUUCCAGGCAAAUCCGGAAAAUCAAGGCCGAGGCGUGAUGACGAGGCACUACGGUGCUGAAGCAACAAAUGCCCUGCUUCCAGGAAAAGCCUCUAAGCAUCAGGUAACAUCAAAUCGUACCCCAAACCGACACAGGUGGUCAGGUAGAGAAUACCAAGGCGCUUGAGAGAACUCGGGUGAAGGAACUAGGCAAAAUGGUGCCGUAACUUCGGGAGAAGGCACGCUGAUACGUAGGUGAAGCGACUUGCUCGUGGAGCUGAAAUCAGUCGAAGAUACCAGCUGGCUGCAACUGUUUAUUAAAAACACAGCACUGUGCAAACACGAAAGUGGACGUAUACGGUGUGACGCCUGCCCGGUGCCGGAAGGUUAAUUGAUGGGGUUAGCGCAAGCGAAGCUCUUGAUCGAAGCCCCGGUAAACGGCGGCCGUAACUAUAACGGUCCUAAGGUAGCGAAAUUCCUUGUCGGGUAAGUUCCGACCUGCACGAAUGGCGUAAUGAUGGCCAGGCUGUCUCCACCCGAGACUCAGUGAAAUUGAACUCGCUGUGAAGAUGCAGUGUACCCGCGGCAAGACGGAAAGACCCCGUGAACCUUUACUAUAGCUUGACACUGAACAUUGAGCCUUGAUGUGUAGGAUAGGUGGGAGGCUUUGAAGUGUGGACGCCAGUCUGCAUGGAGCCGACCUUGAAAUACCACCCUUUAAUGUUUGAUGUUCUAACGUGGACCCGUGAUCCGGGUUGCGGACAGUGUCUGGUGGGUAGUUUGACUGGGGCGGUCUCCUCCUAAAGAGUAACGGAGGAGCACGAAGGUUGGCUAAUCCUGGUCGGACAUCAGGAGGUUAGUGCAAUGGCAUAAGCCAGCUUGACUGCGAGCGUGACGGCGCGAGCAGGUGCGAAAGCAGGUCAUAGUGAUCCGGUGGUUCUGAAUGGAAGGGCCAUCGCUCAACGGAUAAAAGGUACUCCGGGGAUAACAGGCUGAUACCGCCCAAGAGUUCAUAUCGACGGCGGUGUUUGGCACCUCGAUGUCGGCUCAUCACAUCCUGGGGCUGAAGUAGGUCCCAAGGGUAUGGCUGUUCGCCAUUUAAAGUGGUACGCGAGCUGGGUUUAGAACGUCGUGAGACAGUUCGGUCCCUAUCUGCCGUGGGCGCUGGAGAACUGAGGGGGGCUGCUCCUAGUACGAGAGGACCGGAGUGGACGCAUCACUGGUGUUCGGGUUGUCAUGCCAAUGGCACUGCCCGGUAGCUAAAUGCGGAAGAGAUAAGUGCUGAAAGCAUCUAAGCACGAAACUUGCCCCGAGAUGAGUUCUCCCUGACCCUUUAAGGGUCCUGAAG